UAGGGAAUCUUCCACAAUGGACGCAAGUCUGACGGAGCAACGCCGCGUGAGUGAAGAAGGUUUUCGGAUCGUAAAGCUCUGUUGUUGGUGAAGAAGGAUAGAGGCAGUAACUGGUCUUUAUUUGACGGUAAUCAACCAGAAAGUCACGGCUAACUACGUGCCAGCAGCCGCGGUAAUACGUAGGUGGCAAGCGUUGUCCGGAUUUAUUGGGCGUAAAGCGAGCGCAGGCGGAAUGAUAAGUCUGAUGUGAAAGCCCACGGCUCAACCGUGGAACUGCAUCGGAAACUGUCAUUCUUGAGUGCAGAAGAGGAGAGUGGAACUCCAUGUGUAGCGGUGGAAUGCGUAGAUAUAUGGAAGAACACCAGUGGCGAAGGCGGCUCUCUGGUCUGCAACUGACGCUGAGGCUCGAAAGCAUGGGUAGCGAACAGGAUUAGAUACCCUGGUAGUCCAUGCCGUAAACGAUGAGCGCUAGGUGUUGGGGACUUUCCGGUCCUCAGUGCCGCAGCAAACGCAUUAAGCGCUCCGCCUGGGGAGUACGACCGCAAGGUUGAAACG
RNAcentral lists this ribosomal RNA (555 nucleotides) under uncultured bacterium. RNAcentral describes it as "partial 16S ribosomal RNA". It matches the Rfam family "Bacterial small subunit ribosomal RNA", at positions 355 to 901 of the family's 1533-position model. The record is from RNAcentral.